This 301-nucleotide ribosomal RNA is filed under the name uncultured bacterium. RNAcentral's name for it is "partial 16S ribosomal RNA". It matches the Rfam family "Bacterial small subunit ribosomal RNA", at positions 509 to 808 of the family's 1533-position model. The record is from RNAcentral.
CAGUCGCCACGGGAAUACGUAGGUGGCGAGCGUUGUCCGGAAUUAUUGGGCGUAAAGGGAGCGCAGGCGGACAUAUAAGUCCAUCUUAAAAGUGCGGGGCUCAACCCCGUGAGGGGAUGGAAACUGUAUGCCUUGAGUGCAGGAGAGGAGAGCGGAAUUCCCAGUGUAGCGGUGAAAUGCGUAGAUAUUGGGAGGAACACCAGUGGCGAAGGCGGCUUUCUGGACUGUAACUGACGCUGAGGCUCGAAAGCCAGGGGAGCGAGCGGGAUUAGAUACCCCCGUAGUCCCUGUCUCUUAUACC